Molecule: long non-coding RNA, 810 nt
Organism: Triticum dicoccoides
Lineage: Eukaryota; Viridiplantae; Streptophyta; Magnoliopsida; Poales; Poaceae
Exons: 2
Source: RefSeq, a predicted model, not a curated record
UAAUGCUCUUAGGCGUCUGUGCCGGCCGGCACCGACGUGAGUCCGUCGUCGACCGAUCUGCCUCCACUCCGCCUAAGAGGCGCAGAGUUCUCAGAGAGCUGGGCCAGAUCUAUCAAUGGAAGGGGAAUACUAUGAUUCCCUGGUCGCACGAUUUGGCGAACAAGGAUCCCUCAUCGAAGGAUUCGGGAGGGAAGCCGAAGGUCCGGACGCAUAUCGGACACAGCUUCGUCAGCGGAUGUCCCAGGAUUUCCUGUUGAGGAACCUGGAAGAGCGGAGGCGAGCCGCCGACUAUGUAUGCAGUGACCCAGCCUCUAAAAAGGCCAUGUUGGGUCUGCAGGUGCUGACCGUGGGAGAAACAAGGGAACAGGACUGCGCCGUAUGCCUCGAGAAAUUCAUCGACGGCGGCAAGAAGCUCAGGAUGAUGCCCUGCUACCACUCCUUCCAUCAGCGAUGCAUCUUCGACUGGCUUCGCCUUAAUCGCAUCUGCCCUGUCUGCCGCUUCGCGCUGGCCCCACAGUCAGACGACGACAACAAUAACAAGGAGCUGGGACUGCCUGAGAAAGUCGAAUAGCUCGACAGUUUGCCGGAAGUUGAAUUGGAGUGUGCAGCCCUUUCAAGCCACGACUGUGCUAGCAGGUUGUAUUCAUCUUCUUUUCUGUUAUGUUCUGUUUUUUUAUUGGAUUACCGAUCAAAAGCUUGUAGUUUGAACCAAAAUUACUUUUCUCAGCUUGAAACUUAGUAGCUCUUCUCUCUGUUAUGUACAAUACAAGCAAAAUUUCAUCUUUAUGCAUCAAACCUUCAUUUUCUCUA